Molecule: unclassified non-coding RNA, 204 nt
Filed under: Hevea brasiliensis (rubber tree)
Lineage: Eukaryota; Viridiplantae; Streptophyta; Magnoliopsida; Malpighiales; Euphorbiaceae
Source: RNAcentral
GGCAAGAUAGACGUUUUUCUCUUUGAUUUACUGUAAGAAGACAGGCUUGCACUUCUUUAAGCUUCGUGCAACCUAUACAAGGUGUUGCUCGCUUUCUCUCUGUUACCAGCGGGCUUAUGUGGUGGAUAGCAUCCCCAGAUGCUCCUCCUAGCCACACAUAUGCUCCAAACUUGAAAUCGACUUCUUUUUUUCACCAACAUCAGC